UGAACGCUGGCGGCGUGCUUAACACAUGCAAGUCGAACGGAAAGGCCCCUGCUUGCAGGGGUACUCGAGUGGCGAACGGGUGAGUAACACGUGGGUGAUCUACCCCGCACUUCGGGGUAACCCCGGGAAACUGGGUCUAAUACCGGAUAUUCACGCCCCUUUUGUGUGGGGUGUGGAAAGAUUUAUCGGUGUGGGAUGAGCUUGCGGCCUAUCAGCUUGUUGGUGGGGUAAUGGCCUACCAAGGCGUCGACGGGUAGCCGGCCUGAGAGGGUGUACGGCCACAUUGGGACUGAGAUACGGCCCAGACUCCUACGGGAGGCAGCAGUGGGGAAUAUUGCACAAUGGGCGCAAGCCUGAUGCAGCGACGCCGCGUGGGGGAUGACGGCCUUCGGGUUGUAAACUCCUUUCGCCCACGACGAAGCCCUUCGGGGUGACGGUAGUGGGAUAAGAAGCACCGGCUAACUACGUGCCAGCAGCCGCGGUAAUACGUAGGGUGCGAGCGUUGUCCGGAA
This 512-nucleotide ribosomal RNA is filed under the name Corynebacterium maris. RNAcentral describes it as "bacterial SSU rRNA". It matches the Rfam family "Bacterial small subunit ribosomal RNA", at positions 30 to 550 of the family's 1533-position model. The record is from RNAcentral. Lineage: Bacteria; Bacillati; Actinomycetota; Actinomycetes; Mycobacteriales; Corynebacteriaceae.